This 291-nucleotide long non-coding RNA is filed under the name Hordeum vulgare. RNAcentral describes it as "long non-coding RNA (HVUL_LNC010628)". Lineage: Eukaryota; Viridiplantae; Streptophyta; Magnoliopsida; Poales; Poaceae. The record is from RNAcentral.
ACUCGUGCAGAUAUUGUAAAACUUUACUGAUUUAACCAGUCCAUAGUAGCUCUAGAGUUUCACUGAUUUCAGAAGCUUUGCCUAACAUAAGAUAUCUGGAAUUACAUCAGGACAUAUUAAUAUAUAUGAAUUAACGUGAAAAUAAUGUAACUUUCCUUGGAGAUAAUCUGCAAUAUGGCAAUACCGACAAGUGCUCAAGAUGUUGGGACAAGAUCCAUGGCGGUGUAGGCCUUCCGCCCUUCCCUGUAGAGGCAACAAAGGUCUGACACACCACCGACGCCAUGGUCAACU